Molecule: ribosomal RNA, 604 nt
Filed under: Triticum aestivum (bread wheat)
Lineage: Eukaryota; Viridiplantae; Streptophyta; Magnoliopsida; Poales; Poaceae
Description: partial small subunit ribosomal RNA
Source: RNAcentral
CUUAUCCAGCCACCACCCACGAUCCUCUCUCUCUCUUUGCUCACGAUCCCCUCUCUCUCUUAUCUCUCUCUGACUCUCGAUCCGAUCCAGAGCUCGCCGAUGCGCUUGCCUAGACCUCACCGGCCACCACGUCAACAGAUCCUCCUGGCGCCCCGUUCCCGAGCUCCUCUCCUCCGCUCCCGCGCCCUGCCCUGCUACUCGGCCGGAGCUCGCUGGAGCAAGCGGCGACCAGGCCAGCCGCACCUCGCCGGCUCCGGUCCCAUCCCCGUCGCCUCGGCAACUAGGCUAGCCGCAGCUCGCCGGCCCCGUCUCCUCGCGCGCCUCUCCAGCCCCGACCCCACCCCGCCGGCCCCGGCCCCGACCUCAUCGCCCCCACCAGCCCGACCCCACCCGCCGCCGCCUCGCGCGCCGCACUGCACCGGCCACCGCUAGCCGUGGCAAAUUCUCCAUAGAUGAUUGUUGUAUUUCCUGUCUGUAUGAUCUAUAGUACGUGGUGAUUUGAGUACGCGAUUGAUUUUGUGCUCCGAACGGCAAGGAUUUUGUUUUUACUCAUCAAUAGAAGAUUAUCAGACUACUUGAACAUGGCACAAGUGAACUAUUAUCA